UUACGGACAACACACAAGCACAGAAACGCAAACAUAUACCCAUAACCUGAUAGAGAAAGAGAGAGAACAGAAGAAAAGAAAAGAAAAGAAGCAGAGUGGUAAACAAAGAGAAACAACAAAACCCAGAAUCUAGAGACUAAUAACGGCUCUUGCUUUGUGAAUAGCAUACCAUAGCAACAACAACAACACAGAACACACAAAGAAAAAAGGUUUCAUUGGAUCGUAACUGGGGGGCACUUGUCCAAAUUGGAAAAUUCCCGAGUGAUUAGGGUUUUGAUCGGAGGGUGUGAUUGAAAGGAAGACUGUGCUUGUUCAUUCUCUCCGUGGGGGUUGCGUGAAAUGGGCAUGGGCUCUGAUCUUUUCAGGGGUUCAUAUUGUGGAUUUAGAGCUACGGUGGUUGAGCAUUCGCACUUGCAGAUUGCUUAAGAUGGUGUUUAAUAUUGCUUCUUUGAGCAUGGAAGAAGAUUGUCUAUAUUAAUAACAGGGAAUCGGUGAUCAGGAUUUGGAGAACCGUUCUUGGGCACA
Long non-coding RNA from Glycine soja, 525 nucleotides. RefSeq lists it as uncharacterized. NCBI's taxonomy places the organism in Eukaryota, Viridiplantae, Streptophyta, Magnoliopsida, Fabales, Fabaceae. The transcript has 2 exons. The record is from RefSeq and is a predicted model, not a curated record.